CUGCAGUUUAUUAAGCCGACCAGUUGUGCUACAGUGCGUUUCUGGUGUGCAAAGGCUGCAGACAGUGACUCGUGGGUUGUGUAUGUCCUCAGCUGGGAGGUGCUGAGUGCUUUAAGGGACCCAUGAGACAAAA
This 133-nucleotide small nucleolar RNA is filed under the name Sparus aurata (gilthead seabream). RNAcentral's name for it is "Small nucleolar RNA SNORA70 (ENSSAUG00010000304.1)". It matches the Rfam family "Small nucleolar RNA SNORA70". Rfam says of the family: snoRNA U70 seems to be exclusive to mammals and is a member of the H/ACA class of snoRNA which contain H (ANANNA) and ACA box motifs. H/ACA box snoRNAs are involved in the conversion of uridines to pseudouridines (5-ribosyluracil) a constituent of structural RNAs (transfer, ribosomal, small nuclear, and small nucleolar). Lineage: Eukaryota; Metazoa; Chordata; Actinopteri; Spariformes; Sparidae. The record is from Rfam by way of RNAcentral.